This 387-nucleotide ribosomal RNA is filed under the name uncultured forest soil bacterium. RNAcentral describes it as "bacterial SSU rRNA". It matches the Rfam family "Bacterial small subunit ribosomal RNA", at positions 64 to 483 of the family's 1533-position model. The record is from RNAcentral.
GAACGAGAAAGUGGGGCAAUCCAUGAGUAAAGUGGCGUACGGGUGAGUAACACGUGGAUCAUCUGCCCUUUAGUGGGGAAUACCGCUGGGAAACCGGCGACAAUACCGCAUAAGCUCGAGAGAGGAAAGCAGCAAUGCGCUGAAGGAGGAGUCCGCGGCCGAUUAGCUAGUUGGUAGGGUAAUGGCCUACCAAGGCUGUGAUCGGUAGCCGGCCUGAGAGGGCACACGGCCACACUGGCACUGAAACACGGGCCAGACUCCUAAGGGAGGCAGCAGUGGGGAAUCUUGCACAAUGGGGGAAACCCUGAUGCAGCGACGCCGCGUGAGCGAUGAAGCCCUUCGGGGUGUAAAGCUCUUUCGGCAGGGAAGAUUAUGACGGCACCUGUA